CAUGUCUAGCCGCUUUAUCAGCAAAUGAAUUUUAGUCUGAACCCCCGAAACUAGGUGAGCUACUUCGAAAUAGUCUUAAGGACAAACCCGUCUCUGUUGCAGAAGAGUGGGAUGAUUUCCAAGUAGAGGCGACMAACCUACCGCACUUAGAGAUAGCUGGUUGCUCAAGAAAAGAAUUUUAGUUCUACCUUAAGUUACUUAAUUACAAAAAAAACACAUUAAACUUAAGAGCUAUUCAAAUAAGGCACAGCUUAUUUGAAACAGGAUACAACCUAUAUUACAGGGUAAUACUCAAGAACGGGUAACAAGUGGGCCUAAGAGCAGCCACCUCCGAAAAGCGUUAAAGCUUAAUACCCCCUCUAUUCUAAUACCUUAAUUUACCUUCAACCCUUCACUACUAUUGAGCAACUCCAUAAAUCUAUGGAAGUUAUAAUGCUAGAACUAGUAACAAGAAAUAAAUUUUCUCCAAAAUACAAGCCUAAGCCACAAUAGAUAUUCUACUGGCAAUUAACGUAAAUGCCCACACUAUAGUAACCCCAACAAGAAAAUCCUAUAGCCCCCAACGUUAACCUUACACCAGAACAUUAAUGGAAAGAUUAAAAGAAAAAGAAGGAACUCGGCAAAUUUUAACCCGCCG
RNAcentral lists this ribosomal RNA (637 nucleotides) under Gephyromantis silvanus. Its description in RNAcentral is "partial 16S ribosomal RNA". The stretch from base 1 to 439 matches the Rfam family "Bacterial large subunit ribosomal RNA", at positions 669 to 1301 of the family's 2925-position model. The record is from RNAcentral. Lineage: Eukaryota; Metazoa; Chordata; Amphibia; Anura; Mantellidae.